CAGCCGCCACGGGAACACGUAGGGUGCAAGCGUUAAUCGGAAUUACUGGGCGUAAAGCGUGCGCAGGCGGUUAUAUAAGACAGAUGUGAAAUCCCCGGGCUCAACCUGGGAACUGCAUUUGUGACUGUAUAGCUAGAGUACGGCAGAGGGGGAUGGAAUUCCGCGUGUAGCAGUGAAAUGCGUAGAUAUGCGGAGGAACACCGAUGGCGAAGGCAAUCCCCUGGGCCUGUACUGACGCUCAUGCACGAAAGCGUGGGGAGCAAACAGGAUUAGAUACCCGUGUAGUCCCUGUCUCUUAUAC
This 301-nucleotide ribosomal RNA is filed under the name uncultured bacterium. RNAcentral describes it as "partial 16S ribosomal RNA". It matches the Rfam family "Bacterial small subunit ribosomal RNA", at positions 509 to 807 of the family's 1533-position model. The record is from RNAcentral.